GUCUAUGGCCAUACCAUCCUGAACGUGCCUGAUCUCAUCUGAUCUCAGAAUCUAAGCAGGGUCAGUCCUGGUUAGUACUUGAAUGGCAAACUAAUCUCAGAGCAGCCCAUCACUUAUACA
RNAcentral lists this ribosomal RNA (120 nucleotides) under Prolemur simus (greater bamboo lemur). The record is from RNAcentral. Lineage: Eukaryota; Metazoa; Chordata; Mammalia; Primates; Lemuridae.